GGGGCUGUUUUUAUUUGACGUAGGUUCUUUAAAACUUUAGAUUGCAGGUCGAGCCUUCUAACUCGUAAAACUGGAUAAACUUUAUAAGUGCAAAAUCACUUGUAAGCAAAGUUAAAUCAGCAUUUGCUUUUAACUUUGCGCCAGCUCUAGUUUAAUUUCUGGAGCCGUUUCUUCUUUCUGCCCCUAACGGAUAGAUAGAAGCGUCAACUUUUAGGGUGCUGCUUGGUGAUUCUUAUAAGCCAAGAGUAAGAAAUAUAAGAUAAGGCACAAUGAUUUUUGUCUGUUUUCUUUCAUUGAGCUCGAAAAUUAAAAAUAGAAUAAACUUGUAGAAUGUCUAAGGUUUGGCUUGCGGACAGGGGAGCGUAACCCCUCAGCUCCACCA
Molecule: transfer-messenger RNA, 382 nt
Filed under: bacterium
Lineage: Bacteria
Rfam family: transfer-messenger RNA
About the family: Bacterial tmRNA, also known as 10Sa RNA or SsrA, is named for its dual tRNA and mRNA-like properties.
Source: RNAcentral